AUGUUUAUUGAGAAGUACUUGCAGGAGCUCAACGACCUCCAAGCAAAGACCCAAAGUACUAGAACUGCAAGAGCUCAGAAGGCGGGGCAUGUUUUGGCAUGGAUUCCACUGGCUGGGGGAGAGGUCAAACUAAAUGUUGACGGGGGUGUAGCAAAAUCAUCAAAUACAGGUGCGGUUGGAGUUGUAUGCCGGAGUGAGACUGGUCUUUUCAUGGGUGCAUCGGUGGAAGUUUUCCAUGGAAUAACGGAACCAGCAACAUUGGAGGCAUAUGCAUGCAGGGAGGCCCUCGCACUAGCCGAGGACUUGGUUGUUCAUAAAGUGCGAAUUGCAUCGGACUGUCUGAGAGUCAUAAAUGACCUUAAGAGCCCGGGCUAUCUGGGUGAGUAUUGCAUGAUCUUACAGGAGAUCAAUGAGAGAAAGCAAAAGUUUCAGAGUUGCGAGCUUGUCCACGAACAACGUGCAAGCAAUGGUGAGGCACAUAGAUUAGCUAGAAUGGCCACUACCCUAGAUAUUGGCCGACAUGUGUGGCUCAUCGAUCCUCCGGAUAAUCUUUGUAUCCCCCUAAACUUGAGCACAUGA
This 579-nucleotide ribosomal RNA is filed under the name Triticum aestivum (bread wheat). RNAcentral's name for it is "partial small subunit ribosomal RNA". The record is from RNAcentral. Lineage: Eukaryota; Viridiplantae; Streptophyta; Magnoliopsida; Poales; Poaceae.